CGCCAUUCGCCCUUCGGGGCGCAGCAGGCGCGAAAACUUCGCAAUGGGGGGAAACCCCGACGAGGGAAUUCCAAGUGCUAGCACUUUGUGUUAGCUGUUCUUCUGUCUAAAAAACAGGAGAAGUAAGGGGCGGGUAAGACGGGUGCCAGCCGCCGCGGUAAUACCCGCGCCCCGAGUGGUGGUCGAUAUUAUUGAGCCUAAAACGUUCGUAGCCGGUCUUCUAAAUCCUUGGGUAAAUCGGGCAGCUUAACUGUCCGAAUUCCGGGGAGACUGGGAGACUUGGGACCGGGAGAGGUCAGAGGUACUUCUGGGGUAGGGGUAAAAUCCUGUAAUCCUGGAAGGACCACCGGUGGCGAAGGCGUCUGACUAGAACGGAUCCGACGGUGAGGAACGAAGCCCUGGGGCGCAAACGGGAUUAGAUACCCCGGUAGUCCAGGGUGUAAACGCUGCGGGCUUGGUGUUGGGGGUCCUUAGUGGGCGCCCAGUGCCGGAGAGAAGUUGUUAAGCCUGCUGCUUGGGGAGUAUGUCCGCAAGGAUGAAACUUAAAGGAAUUGGCGGGGGAGCA
Molecule: ribosomal RNA, 565 nt
Filed under: uncultured archaeon
Lineage: Archaea
Description: bacterial SSU rRNA
Rfam family: Archaeal small subunit ribosomal RNA
Source: RNAcentral